RNAcentral lists this ribosomal RNA (484 nucleotides) under uncultured bacterium. Its description in RNAcentral is "partial 16S ribosomal RNA". It matches the Rfam family "Bacterial small subunit ribosomal RNA", at positions 30 to 507 of the family's 1533-position model. The record is from RNAcentral.
AUUGAACGCUGGCGGCAGGCCUAACACAUGCGAGUCGAGCGGAUGAAGGGAGCUUGCUCCUGGAUUCAGCGGCGGACGGGUGAGUAAUGCCUAGGAAUCUGCCUGGUAGUGGGGGAUAACGUCCGGAAACGGGCGCUAAUACCGCAUACGUCCUGAGGGAGAAAGUGGGGGAUCUUCGGACCUCACGCUAUCAGAUGAGCCUAGGUCGGAUUAGCUAGUUGGUGGGGUAAAGGCCUACCAAGGCGACGAUCCGUAACUGGUCUGAGAGGAUGAUCAGUCACACUGGAACUGAGACACGGCCCAGACUCCUACGGGAGGCAGCAGUGGGGAAUAUUGGACAAUGGGCGAAAGCCUGAUCCAGCCAUGCCGCGUGUGUGAAGAAGGUCUUCGGAUUGUAAAGCACUUUAAGUUGGGAGGAAGGGCAGUAAGUUAAUACCUUGCUGUUUUGACGUUACCAACAGAAUAAGCACCGGCUAACUUCGUG